CCUACGGGAGGCAGCAGUCGAGAAUCUUCGGCAAUGGACGCAAGUCUGACCGAGCGACGCCGCGUGCGGGAUGAAGGCCUUCGGGUUGUAAACCGCUGUCAGAGGGGAUGAAGUGUACGGGAGUUAUCUCCUGUAUUUGACAGAGCCUCAGAGGAAGUACGGGCUAAGUUCGUGCCAGCAGCCGCGGUAAUACGAACUGUGCGAACGUUAUUCGGAAUCACUGGGCUUAAAGGGUGCGUAGGCGGCUGCCUAAGUCAGGUGUGAAAUCUCUCGGCUCAACCGGGAAACUGCGCUUGAUACUGGGCGGCUCGAGUGAGGUAGGGGUGUGUGGAACUUCCGGUGGAGCGGUGAAAUGUGUAGAUAUCGGAAGGAACGCCAGCAGCGAAAGCGGCACACUGGGCCUUUUCUGACGCUGAGGCACGAAAGCUAGGGGAGCGAACGGGAUUAGAUACCCCGGUAGUCCUAGCCGUAAACACUGAACACUCGAGGAGGGGGCUUCGGCCUUCUUUCUCUUAGCGAAAGCGUUAAGUGUUCCGCCUGGGGAGUAGUGUCGCGAGCGUGAACGUUAAAGUAGAAGUUAGACGGCGUGAGACGUGCCGAACGGACGACGACGAGGGAGGUUAGG
Molecule: ribosomal RNA, 625 nt
Filed under: uncultured bacterium
Lineage: Bacteria
Description: bacterial SSU rRNA
Rfam family: Bacterial small subunit ribosomal RNA (bases 1-538)
Source: RNAcentral